RNAcentral lists this long non-coding RNA (416 nucleotides) under Ananas comosus (pineapple). Its description in RNAcentral is "long non-coding RNA (ACOM_LNC024370)". The record is from RNAcentral. Lineage: Eukaryota; Viridiplantae; Streptophyta; Magnoliopsida; Poales; Bromeliaceae.
CGGCGCUCCACUUUAUGGGUGCGUUUGGUUCGCACUAUUUUUUAAAGAUUCCUAAUAAUUCAAUAGGAAUAAAAAAAUAUGACGGUGUUUGGCUAAACGCACUAAGUAAUCUAACUGGUAAUAUUGGAUUCACUUGGGAAUAAGAUUCACCCCAAAGUACUAAUCUCAUUCCCUUGAGGGAGGGUGGGUAUCCUCAUAUUAAUGAAUUGGGAUAAUCAUAAUAUGCCUAAUCUCUUUUUUUCUUCUUACCCGCCGGCUAAUUGGUAUUAUUUUUCUUUACACUCUAACCUUAUAUCUCUUUCUAAAUUUAUUUUUCUCUCUAAAAUUCAACUUUUUUUCUCUCUCUAAACUAAGCUUUCUCUCUCUCUCUCUUUCUAAAAUUUCGAUUUAGAAAAUCAAUUUUGAAAAUCAAUUUU